GACGAACGCUGGCGGCGUGCUUAACACAUGCAAGUCGAACGGAAAGGCCCUGCUUUUGUGGGGUGCUCGAGUGGCGAACGGGUGAGUAACACGCGAGUAACAUGCCCUUGACUUUGGGAUAACUUCAGGAAACUGGGGCUAAUAUCGGAUAGGAGCUCCUGCUGCAUGGUGGGGGAUGGAAAGUUUCGGCGGUUGGGGAUGGACUCGCUGCUUACCAGCUUGUUGGUGGGGUAGUUGCUGACCAAGGCUUUGACGGGUAGCCGGCCUGAGAGGGUGACCGGGCACAUUGGGACUGCGAUACGGCCCAGACUCCUACGGGAGGCAGCAGUGGGGAAUAUUGCACAAUGGGCGGAAGCCUGAUGCAGCAACGCCGCGUGCGGGAUGACGGCCUUCGGGUUGUAAACCGCUUUCGCCUGUGACGAAGCGUGAGUGACGGUAAUGGGUAAAGAAGCACCGGCUAACUACGUG
RNAcentral lists this ribosomal RNA (468 nucleotides) under uncultured bacterium. Its description in RNAcentral is "partial 16S ribosomal RNA". It matches the Rfam family "Bacterial small subunit ribosomal RNA", at positions 28 to 507 of the family's 1533-position model. The record is from RNAcentral.